RNAcentral lists this long non-coding RNA (8120 nucleotides) under Eucalyptus grandis. RNAcentral's name for it is "long non-coding RNA (EGRA_LNC003450)". Lineage: Eukaryota; Viridiplantae; Streptophyta; Magnoliopsida; Myrtales; Myrtaceae. The record is from RNAcentral.
UGCCGAAAAUUGUGUUUAAGAAAUUAAGGAUAUACUCAGUUCUUUCAAAAAUAGAUGAAACUAGCUUUCAAAAUCGAAGAACAAUCAUGUUAAGACAUGAAGAGGCAAAUGUAAAAGGAAUAGAUUCAGUUUAAGUAAAGUGCAAACUCUAUCUGUUUCAUGCAUCAUCUAGACAUAGAAGUGUUUCAAAUUCCAAUUUCUAUUAAUUCGAGCUAAUGUCAACCUCUGCCAGAGGAUGGCGUGGAAAAGAUCUUGCCUCCUUGCCACCAUUUUAAAACGAAAUUUGCCUCCGAACGGCAUGACUUUUCACCAUGUCAAUUUUCCACCGCAGCUUGUCGAUGAUGGCAAGUUAUUUUAGGCAACAAACUUUUCUAUGGUUCGAACAGCUUGAAUCCAUCGAAGUUGCAAAAACAUGCGUAAGUUCAAGGAAAAGAAAAUGAGGAUCCCAGUUUAGCCAUUUACUGCACACAUGACUAAAGAUCCAUGGACUUGACUAAUUGACAUUUUUACGAGCUCUUUCUUUCUGACCUAUCUCCUCUUUCAUCUUUUCGAUGAACAACAAUCUAGAUAGCAGCUACCAUUCAAGAAAGAAAAAAUCAGGUAUGAUCCCGAUUCACAUGAAUCAUUAGAUGUGAACGCAACCCACAUCCACAGUUGGAUGCGAUGAACCCCAUAUGAGGCCCAUGUGAUUUAGCAUAAGCAUUGGGUUUGCAUCGAUUCGAAUCAUAUAUUAAAAGGGUAAGAAACAAGACCCUAUUACUCAAAAUAGAAAAGAAAAAUAAGACCUUUCAGAGCAUAUACAUACAGAAAGGACACAAUGACUAAUACAUGAAACUAGUUUCGAACUCUAUCAAGCAAAGUCAAGUAUAUUUAAAUUAACAUCAAUCGUCAGAUUUGUGGUAUCCAAACAAAACAAGUCAUUGCUAAUGAUCCUAAUUCAUAUAGAUACGUGUAUACUGUGAUUCUAAUCCGUCAUCCAGUGCAAGGAUAAAGAAAAAUCUUUGCUUGGGAAUGAGUCAAAGUUUUGUUCACUUCAUGGUAUACUCAUGAAAAACUAAAAUUUGCUUGGCUCUCAUUUUUAAUGAUGAUUACAUGACAGUUUUUANNNNNNNNNNNNNNNNNNNNNNNNNNNNNNNNNNNNNNNNNNNNNNNNNNNNNNNNNNNNNNNNNNNNNNNNNNNNNNNNNNNNNNNNNNNNNNNNNNNNUUUUUCAAAAAUUUGUCACUCACAAUAAACUGUUAUUCUCACAGAUUCAAUGACUGUUAUGCUAGCAAAAUCUUUUUUAUAUAAUCAACAUGUCAUUUUUUAAUUAUGUUAAAUUUUUGUAAUCCUAUAUAUUAAGUAAAUUUAUUUAUUAAAUGAAGGGUAUGCGUUAGAUUCAACCGAAUCCAAUAAUUAAGAAACAUGGCACUCUGUAUGCAUAAAUCAAGUGAAUAGAACAUGUACAUUGAUCUGGCCUUUGAUGAUGUCGUCCGAGUAGCCCUCCGAGAGCAUCGUCUCGAUCAUUGUCUUGCUCUCCUCCUCUCGGCUGCCGUCGGCAUCGCUUCUCUUCCUUCUCGACCUGUGCUCAUCUAUCAUCCCCUGCAAGAUCACAUCGGACCUGUUGGCCACGUCCACCAUCCUCCGCUCUCUACCCUUGAAGUCCACCACCUUCCUCAGCACCGGCAAGAAAUCGCCCGGGUCCGUUCCGCUCAGCUCGAAUUCCUCCUUUAUCAACUCCCUGUACUCCCUCGCCACCUCGGCGUCGCCAGCGUCGACGGCGACCCCAGAGUAGCGCUUCCCAGAGAUCAUCCUCAUGAUGAUGUUGAAGGACAGCUCCUGCAGCCUCGAACUCAUCUCCACCCUCGCAAAACCACCGCCCUGGGAGGAGGAGGCCGCCUCGUAGAGGCUCCUCGUGAGGUGCCUGACCUCCUCCUGCCGGAUGGCGAGGGAGCCGGUGAGGCGGUGCGGCGAAAGGAUCUCCACGGCCGUGAGGCGGCGGAGGUUGCGCCAGUGGGGGCCGUAGGGGGCGCUGCCGAUGGUGGUGUUGCCGUAUCCCAUGAUCUCGCCCGAGAGCGUGCGGGGGCGGUUGGCGAGGGCGAUGUCGUUCCUGGUGAAGCACUCCUCAGCCGCGGACGGGGAGGAUAUGACGACCGCGGGCCGAGAGCCCAAGGAGAGGGAGAGGACAGGGCCAUAGCGGUCGGAGAGGGACUGAAGGGUGCGGUGGACAGGCUCUUUUAUGAGGUGGAGGUGGCCGAUGAUGGGGAGUGAAGGCGGGGCCGGCGGGAGAUUUCUCUUGCUGCUUCUCUGCAAUUUGAAAAGGUAGAGAAGGAAGAGGAGGGAGGUCGCCGAGAGGAUGUACACCCACGUGUCUUCCAUGGACAACAUCUGUUGGAGGCCGCCUUGUGGAGAGAGAGAGAGAGAGAGAGAGAGAUGGAAUGGGUACAGAGACGCAAGGUGUUGCGGGUCUUGAUUUUGGUAUAGGCACCCACCAGCGUGCGCAUAAAAUCAGGGAAAAAAGGAAAAGAUUCUGGUAUGGGUGGAGUUGUUUUCUGGAAGAGCAAAAGAGAUGAGCACAGAAAACUGAUAUCUCCACAGGUUCAUCUUUGUGGCUAGCAAUCAAUUGGGUGCAUUCGUUGAGUUCAAGUGGGGCAUAAAUUGGCCGUGAAACCUUUGACGUUUUCUGCUUUUGUGUUUGGGUCAUAGUCUUAUCACGGGAGCGAAAGGUAUGGCUCCCGCUACCAUCAAAACCCGUGGCUGAUAUUGGAGCUGAGCGUUGAUUGUUUCUCGGGCGCUGUCGUUCAAUAAUUCGCUACCUAAUUCCAAGAAAGAAGUGCCAAGGCUUAUAUUAUACUGUUUAAAUUAUGCCAUUAAAAAAAAUUCAGACUAAGUUUUCCAAUGACAUGUCAUCCACUUUUCUGGAGGUCUGUAGAAUAUUUUGUCAAUUAUAUGAGUUUGGGCCAAAUUUGUAAGUGAAGAAGAAGAUUAUUAAAUUAAUGUUUCGGAUUUGAAUUCGAAUAAUAAUUUGUUAAAUCGAAUUUGUUGAUAAAUUUUUUUUUUUAAAGAUUGGAUGUAACAGUUUUCUUUCUUGGACUUUUUCUAAAGACGUGCAAAGCAAGACAAAAGAAGAAGGGUUUUUUUUUUUUUUUUUGUGACCCAGGGAACCCCCGUACGCCGCUUCGCGACUGGAGUAAACCCUGGAGGGACCCGGCCCACCACCGCUGACCUCGGCCCCUGGGUAAAUCGCGCGUUUGCAUUGAAGCAACGCGGACGCAGAGUCUCGAACUCUUCCCCCUGGCGUGUGGGGUACCAAGCCUUAACCACUACGGCCACCGCGGGCGGUGGUGACAAAAGAAGAAGGGUUAAUACCCUGAAAAAUCCCAAACUGGUACACUUGUGACAAAUUUAUCCAAAACUAUUUUUUUGACCACAAAAAAUCCUAAACUAGUAUACGUUUGACAAAUUUACUCCAAACUGGUACACUUGUGACAAAUUUACCUUUUGUUAGUUUUUAUUAAAUUUUAUUCUCAAAUUAUUAAGUUAAAUGACACGUGAUAGUUAACCAGUAUACCAAUUUAGGACUUUAUGCUCCGUUUGUCACAGUUUACAAUUUUUGUGAUUUUUUUGUGGUAUUAAUCCAAUUUAGCAAAGGGUAUAUUUGUCACAAAUUUACCAUUUUUGGGUUUUUUGCAGUCAAAUAAAUUAAUUUGAGGUAAAUUUGUUAUAAAUGUACCAGUUUAAGGUUUUUUAUAGUCAGUCGGUGUAAAUUUGUCACAAGUAUACCAGUUUGGGGUUCUUCAUGGUCAAAAAAAUAGUUUUGGGUAAAUUUGUCACAAAUGUACCAGUUUGGGGUUUUUCAAGGUAUUAACCCUAAGAAGAAAUAAGAUAUAAAAGAAAAAAAAAAGAAAAGGAAGUUUUUUUCUUCUCCUCCUUUGCAGCUACGAUUUCCCUUGCAAAAGGAAAUAGACCGUGGGGCCUAGAGUCAAAGUUGUUGACUCUGGGCACACCUAUAAUAAUUAAUUAGGAAUUCCCCCUUUGGCGUGAAGCUGCUGCAGCCUUACAAGAGUCACCAAAGUCCUUGCACGUAGAAGAAAGGAAGCAAAUCUCUCUACACAUGGAGCCAAAAAAAGAGCUGGUGGGCCCAGGUCAAAUAUUUGACCUUUGGGCACACGAAUUUCCUUUAUUCUUUUUUUUUUGGUACCCAGGGAACCUUUGCACGCCACUUCGCAGUGGAGAGUAAACCCUGGGGCGCCGAGGGCCCCCACCGCUGACCCCCAAGCGCGGAUAAGUCACGCGUUAUGCAAUGAAGCAUUGCGUCCACGAAGAUUCGAUCUCUCCCCCUCUGCGUUGGGGUAACAGGCUCUCAACCAGCGCGGCCACCACGGGCGUGCAUAAAGUGACUUAAAAACCCUACGAAAGAGAAGAAGCCACGGGCGUCAAGUUGUAGAGAGCCGCAGGCGUUUUUGUUUCAAACUUGAAAGCAUGAUAAUUUUAUGCUGUAAGUUGUUUAUUUAUAAAUAAUUUAAAUUUUUUGUUAAAUUUAGGUGUGGGAAACACUCGAGCAUAUAAAUAAUUAACAAAAUAGUUAUCACACGUAUAUUUCUAUACUUUAUAUAGAGAGAUAAAGAAGAAUAAGUCUCAAUUAUUUAAUUAUCCAUUCCUCACACUUAUUAUUUAAUAUAUAUAUAUAUAUAUAUAUAUAUAUAUAUAUAUAUAUAUAUAUAGACACACAUUCUAGUUUACUAUAUAUAAAUUAUAAUUAUUCUAAGAUAUCUUUCUAACAACAACGGGCAUAAAUAUUAAAUAGAAGUACCGAUUUUAGGACAACUUUUUUAAUAACUUACCCUCUUGUCUUUGUGCCUAUAGUGGGCCUGGUAUUUCCAUCAAUUGUGAUGGCUUUUUUGUCCCUCCAUGUUCAACAAAGCAAGACUUCUUUGAGAUUUUUUUUUUUUUUUGAAUGCUAAGACUUCUUUGAGAGUUAAAAGGGAAGAGAAUGGAAAGAUAAAAAGAUUCCUCAUGUUCUGGAAUAAUUUACAAUUGGACUGCUACCUUGUUGACUCUCUAUCUCACAAUCCUUAAAUUUGUUUAUUUUCUAAUCACCUAUUUGUCAAAUUUACUUUAGGGUCCAAUCAGCACCAACUAGUACAGAACGUAACAUUUUGUCUCACGGGCGACAUUUUCCUCCAUCUCUUGCUCCUUUUCUAUGGAAGUAAAUAUAGAUCGAGUAGUGAUUAGUACUAGUACAUAGGGCAGUAAAGAGUUGGUGGACAAAUCAUUCGAAAAACAAGAUAAAACAGCUAGAGGGACACUCCGUCACCAGAAUUUGCAUCAGAGGAGAGCAUGUUUGAAGAAAACUCAAUCAAUCGUUACCUGUAAUUCCCUUCAAUAGAGUACUAAGAUGCAACAGUUGAACACCAGUGCUAGCAUCCGACUUAAUGAUGAGCUUUCGAUAAAUAAUUCAAUCCCUUAGCUCAUGGUAGAGCGUUGGGAAGUGCCUAGAAUGCCAAAACACCAUCGUCGUCCCUAUCAUUUGCUAAACUCGAAGACCCAUCUGUGGCGAGAGUCUCCGAUCAUUCCCUCCACACUUGCAUGUCCCAGAUCGUCUUUGCCGGAUCCGGCAGUAUUAUAGCUUGAACCUCCCAAAGAGGGGGUUCGACCCAUUGAUUUCGACAGAGGAGGAGCUAGCCUGCUUCAUGUUGAGGGAUGCGAGGGGCGAGCCGUCCCGCUAUAGAAGCUGCAACGUCGGUGGAAAUGGGAGUGCUUUUUGCAGUCCCAUCGUGAGACGCUUUGUUGUUCAUGUCACACGCCAUAGGGCCCAGAUGGCAAACAAUUUUACGCUCUUUCAGGGGCCUUGACUGAUAAAUUACAAGCUUACGGAUAUUAAUAACAUGUAAACUAAACUAAAAUUCAAAUAUGGUUUUAAAAGGAUUUUGAGCUCGGUCUAUGGGCCAACCAUUGGACACCCAAAUUUUUAAACCAACGGACACGAGUGACACGAUACUCAUUACAUGACUUCAAGUAAUACAGAUCAAAUUCGUUCGAGUUAUCAUGUUAAAGGAUCUCCAUACUAUAAUCUUUCAAGAAAUUAACCUUAGUCCAUUAAUUAUUUAGGGAUGCUAAAAUUGUACACUUCUUAAGUUUUUCAUGUCGUAUUUAAACCCAUCAUUUUGCAAUGUUUUGGACCUCUUUUGUCUACCUGUGAAUUCCAUCAAACUCUCAUUUUGGAACGGAUUUCAACAAGGCAUGAUAACUCAGUAUGCCAAGCCAACCAUAUCUGUUACCGGUGCAACAACAAAUGCCCAAAAUAGAGAGAGGGAUGAACAAUGUUGCCAGUAUCUAUAUAAACCAUCAUUUUUCUCCUAAGAGAAAGGCCUAAAGCUGCAUUGGCCUCCUCAGGAUGCUAUUGAUGCUCACGAUCAUUCCUAAAGUUGCACUGGCCUAAAGCUGUAUAGUCGCUCCUAUUUUCAGUCUAUUUGAUUAUUCAAAAACAUUGGAGAUACAUCACCAAAGUAAAUUCAUUAGACAACGACCUUCUUAAAGGUGCGCAAGAACAUUAGCUAUCAUGCAUUUACGCGCUUUGCACAAGGCCUCCAAAGGCUCUCUCUUGGGCAUUGUGAGUCCCGUCCCCUCAGACAAGUCCACCAAUUCUUCGCCAACUCGUUCCCAUUCGAAGCACUGAAUAAGCGCUGCCAGGGCCAAGCUCACCACUCUAUUGGCAAGGCCAGCACCGGGACAACUUCUCCUCCCCAUGCCAAACGGCAAUAGUCGGUAGGCAUGAUCACCUUCCAAUCCAUCGUACCUCUCCGGUUUAAAAUUUGUGGGAUCGUCCCACACUUUUGGGUCUCUCUGAAUUGCCCAUGCAUUAACCAGGAUCAUGGUGCCUCGGGGCACGUCAAACCCACCAAUCGUGCAAUCCUCAGCAGACUCAUGAGGCACUAGGAGUGGCGCCGGUGGAAACAAUCGGAGCGCCUCAUUGAUGAUAUUAUGAAGGCAAGGCAGCUUGUGGGUGUCGGCUUCAUCAACUAGACGGUCUCGGCCAACAAUGUCGUCUAGUUCUACUUGAGCUUUUUUCAUGACGUCCAGGUGGUUGAGCAAGAGGGACAUGGCCCAUUCUAUUGUCACCGCAGAUGUGUCUGUACCCGCACCUAUUAUUGACUGCCGAAAAUUGUGUUUAAGAAAUUAAGGAUAUACUCAGUUCUUUCAAAAAUAGAUGAAACUAGCUUUCAAAAUCGAAGAACAAUCAUGUUAAGAUGUGAAGAGGCAAAUGUAAAAGGAAUAGAUUCAGUUUAAGUAAAGUGCAAACUCUAUCUGUUUCAUGCAUCAUCUAGACAUAGAAGUGUUUCAAAUUCCAAUUUCUAUUAAUUCGAGCUAAUGUCAACCUCUGCCAGAGGAUGGCGUGGAAAAGAUCUUGCCUCCUUGCCACCAUUAUAAAACGAAAUUUGCCUCCGAACGGCAUGACUUUUCACCGUGUCAAUUUUCCACCGCAGCUUGUCGAUGAUGGCAAGUUAUUUUAGACAACAUACUUUUCUAUGGUUCGAACAGCUUGAAUCCAUCGAAGUUGCAAAAACAUGCGUAAGUUCAAGGAAAAGAAAAUGAGGAUCCCAGUUAAGCCAUUUACUGCACACACGACUAAAGAUCCAUGGACUUGACUAAUUGACAUUUUUACGAGCUCUUUCUUUCUGACCUAUCUCCUCUUUCAUCUUUUCAAUGAACAACAAUCUAGAUAGCAGCUACCAUUCAAGAAAGAAAAAAUCAGGUAUGAUCCCGAUUCACAUGAAUCAUUAGAUGUGAACGCAACUCACAUCCACAGUUGGAUGAGAUGAACCCCAGAUGAGGCCCAUGUGAUUUAGCAUAAGCAUUGGGUUCACAUCGAUUCGAAUCAUAAUUUAAAGGGUAAGAAACAAGACCCUAUUACUCAAAAUAAAAAAGAAAAAUAAGACCUUUCAGAGCAUAUACAAUACUGAAGGACACUAUGACUAAUACAUGAAACCGGUUUCGAACUCUAUCAAGCAAAGUCAAGUAUAUUUAAAUUAACAUCAAUUGUCAGAUUUGUGGUAUCCAAACAAAACAAGUCAUUGCUAACAAUCCUAAUUCAUAUAGAUACAUGUAUACUUUGAUUCUAAUCCGUCAUCCAGGUGUAAG